UAGAAGGAUACUAUAGAACCAAAUGGAGUC
Molecule: non-coding RNA, 30 nt
Filed under: Mus musculus (house mouse)
Lineage: Eukaryota; Metazoa; Chordata; Mammalia; Rodentia; Muridae
Source: RNAcentral